GAUGAACGCUGGCGGCGUGCCUAAUACAUGCAAGUCGAGCGAACAGACGAGGAGCUUGCUCCUCUGACGUUAGCGGCGGACGGGUGAGUAACACGUGGAUAACCUACCUAUAAGACUGGGAUAACUUCGGGAAACCGGAGCUAAUACCGGAUAAUAUAUUGAACCGCAUGGUUCAAUAGUGAAAGACGGUUUUGCUGUCACUUAUAGAUGGAUCCGCGCCGCAUUAGCUAGUUGGUAAGGUAACGGCUUACCAAGGCAACGAUGCGUAGCCGACCUGAGAGGGUGAUCGGCCACACUGGAACUGAGACACGGUCCAGACUCCUACGGGAGGCAGCAGUAGGGAAUCUUCCGCAAUGGGCGAAAGCCUGACGGAGCAACGCCGCGUGAAUGAUGAAGGUCUUCGGAUCGUAAAACUCUGUUAUUAGGGAAGAACAAAUGUGUAAGUAACUAUGCACGUCUUGACGGUACCUAGUCAGAAAGCCACGGCUAACUACGUG
Molecule: ribosomal RNA, 497 nt
Filed under: uncultured bacterium
Lineage: Bacteria
Description: partial 16S ribosomal RNA
Rfam family: Bacterial small subunit ribosomal RNA
Source: RNAcentral